UUUAGACUCUCUACCUCUCUUUCGAUAAAUCCACCAUCGAGGUCCUCUCCCUCUUCCUUCCCAUCUAUAGCGAUCGUCGUGCCACCUUUCCUAGUGCCACACUCCUCCUUAAAACCCCUUUUCCUCAAAACCUCAAUUUUUGCUUUGUUUUUUCUCUAUUUCGGGUGUCGUCGCCAUGAAUCCCAUUGGACUUUAUCGUCACUAGUCGUGACUCAUUGCUAUCACCUCCUCCG
This 233-nucleotide long non-coding RNA is filed under the name Elaeis guineensis (African oil palm). RNAcentral describes it as "long non-coding RNA (EGUI_LNC004843)". The record is from RNAcentral. Lineage: Eukaryota; Viridiplantae; Streptophyta; Magnoliopsida; Arecales; Arecaceae.